CACCAGACUCCUACGGGAGGCAGCAGUGGGGAAUAUUGGGCAAUGGGCGCAAGCCUGACCCAGCAACGCCGCGUGAAGGAAGAAGGCCCUCGGGUUGUAAACUUCUUUUAUCAAGGACGAAACAAAUGACGGUACUUGAUGAAUAAGCCACGGCUAACUACGUGCCAGCAGCCGCGGUAAUACGUAGGGGGCAAGCGUUAUCCGGAUUUACUGGGUGUAAAGGGAGCGCAGGCGGCACGGCAAGCCUGAUGUGAAAGCCCGCGGCCCAACCGCGGGACUGCAUUGGGAACUACCGGGCUGGAGUGCCGGAGAGGUAGGCGGAAUUCCUAGUGUAGCGGUGAAAUGCGUAGAUAUUAGGAGGAACACCAGUGGCGAAGGCGGCCUACUGGACGGUGACUGACGCUGAGGCUCGAAAGCGUGGGGAGCAAACAGGAUUAGAUACCCUGGUA
RNAcentral lists this ribosomal RNA (449 nucleotides) under uncultured bacterium. Its description in RNAcentral is "bacterial SSU rRNA". It matches the Rfam family "Bacterial small subunit ribosomal RNA", at positions 329 to 792 of the family's 1533-position model. The record is from RNAcentral.